RNAcentral lists this ribosomal RNA (486 nucleotides) under uncultured Pseudonocardia sp. RNAcentral's name for it is "bacterial SSU rRNA". It matches the Rfam family "Bacterial small subunit ribosomal RNA", at positions 8 to 507 of the family's 1533-position model. The record is from RNAcentral. Lineage: Bacteria; Bacillati; Actinomycetota; Actinomycetes; Pseudonocardiales; Pseudonocardiaceae.
AGAGUUUGAUCCUGGCUCAGGACGAACGCUGGCGGCGUGCUUAACACAUGCAAGUCGAGCGGUAAGGCCCUUUCGGGGGUACACGAGCGGCGAACGGGUGAGUAACACGUGGGUGACCUGCCCUCAGCUCUGGGAUAAGCCUGGGAAACUGGGUCUAAUACCGGAUAUGACCACAUGUCGCAUGGUGUGUGGUGGAAAGUUUUUUCGGCUGGGGAUGGGCCCGCGGCCUAUCAGCUUGUUGGUGGGGUGAUGGCCUACCAAGGCGACGACGGGUAGCCGGCCUGAGAGGGCGACCGGCCACACUGGGACUGAGACACGGCCCAGACUCCUACGGGAGGCAGCAGUGGGGAAUAUUGCGCAAUGGGCGAAAGCCUGACGCAGCGACGCCGCGUGGGGGAUGACGGCCUUCGGGUUGUAAACCUCUUUCGACCUUGACGAAGCCUUCGGGUGACGGUAGGGGUAGAAGAAGCACCGGCCAACUACGUG